RNAcentral lists this ribosomal RNA (658 nucleotides) under Flavobacterium sp. AS3.26. RNAcentral's name for it is "bacterial SSU rRNA". It matches the Rfam family "Bacterial small subunit ribosomal RNA", at positions 1 to 666 of the family's 1533-position model. Lineage: Bacteria; Pseudomonadati; Bacteroidota; Flavobacteriia; Flavobacteriales; Flavobacteriaceae. The record is from RNAcentral.
UAGAGUUUGAUCCUGGCUCAGGAUGAACGCUAGCGGCAGGCUUAACACAUGCAAGUCGAGGGGUAUAGUUCUUCGGANCUAGAGACCGGCGCACGGGUGCGUAACGCGUAUGCAAUCUACCUUUUACAGAGGGAUAGCCCAGAGAAAUUUGGAUUAAUACCUCAUAGUAUUAUGAAAUGGCAUCAUUUUAUAAUUAAAGUCACAACGGUAAAAGAUGAGCAUGCGUCCCAUUAGCUAGUUGGUAAGGUAACGGCUUACCAAGGCUACGAUGGGUAGGGGUCCUGAGAGGGAGAUCCCCCACACUGGUACUGAGACACGGACCAGACUCCUACGGGAGGCAGCAGUGAGGAAUAUUGGACAAUGGGCGCAAGCCUGAUCCAGCCAUGCCGCGUGCAGGAUGACGGUCCUAUGGAUUGUAAACUGCUUUUAUACGAGAAGAAACACUCCUUCGUGAAGGAGCUUGACGGUAUCGUAAGAAUAAGGAUCGGCUAACUCCGUGCCAGCAGCCGCGGUAAUACGGAGGAUCCAAGCGUUAUCCGGAAUCAUUGGGUUUAAAGGGUCCGUAGGCGGUUUAGUAAGUCAGUGGUGAAAGCCCAUCGCUCAACGGUGGAACGGCCAUUGAUACUGCUAAACUUGAAUUAUUAGGAAGUAACUAGAA